CUACGGGGUGCUGCAGUGGGGAAUAUUGCACAAUGGAGGAAACUCUGAUGCAGCAACGCCGCGUGGAGGAUGACACUUUUCGGAGCGUAAACUCCUUUUAUAUAGGAAGAUAAUGACGGUACUAUAUGAAUAAGCACCGGCUAACUCCGUGCCAGCAGCCGCGGUAAUACGGAGGGUGCAAGCGUUACUCGGAAUCACUGGGCGUAAAGAGCGUGUAGGCGGGUUAAUAAGUCAGAAGUGAAAUCCUAUGGCUCAACCAUAGAACUGCUUUUGAAACUGUUAACCUAGAGAGUGGGAGAGGUAGAUGGAAUUUCUGGUGUAGGGGUAAAAUCCGUAGAGAUCAGAAGGAAUACCGAUUGCGAAGGCGAUCUACUGGAACAUAACUGACGCUGAGACGCGAAAGCGUGGGGAGCAAACAGGAUUAGAUACCCGCGUAGUC
This 439-nucleotide ribosomal RNA is filed under the name uncultured bacterium. RNAcentral describes it as "partial 16S ribosomal RNA". It matches the Rfam family "Bacterial small subunit ribosomal RNA", at positions 339 to 795 of the family's 1533-position model. The record is from RNAcentral.